UUGAACGCUGGCGGAAUGCUUUACACAUGCAAGUCGAGCGGCAGCGCGGGGGCAACCCUGGCGGCGAGCGGCGAACGGGUGAGUAACACAUCGGAACGUACCCAGUUGUGGGGGAUAGCCCGGCGAAAGCCGGAUUAAUACCGCAUACGACCUGAGGGUGAAAGGGGGGGAUCGCAAGACCUCUCGCAGUUGGAGCGGCCGAUGGCGGAUUAGCUAGUUGGUGGGGUAAAGGCCUACCAAGGCGACGAUCCGUAGCUGGUCUGAGAGGAUGAUCAGCCACACUGGGACUGAGACACGGCCCAGACUCCUACGGGAGGCAGCAGUGGGGAAUUUUGGACAAUGGGGGCAACCCUGAUCCAGCCAUGCCGCGUGAGUGAAGAAGGCCUUCGGGUUGUAAAGCUCUUUCAGACGGAAAGAAAUCGGGUGCGUGAAUAGCGCGCCUGGAUGACGGUACUGUCAGAAGAAGCACCGGCUAACUACGU
RNAcentral lists this ribosomal RNA (482 nucleotides) under uncultured bacterium. Its description in RNAcentral is "bacterial SSU rRNA". It matches the Rfam family "Bacterial small subunit ribosomal RNA", at positions 29 to 506 of the family's 1533-position model. The record is from RNAcentral.